RNAcentral lists this ribosomal RNA (500 nucleotides) under uncultured Sphingobacteriaceae bacterium. Its description in RNAcentral is "partial 16S ribosomal RNA". Lineage: Bacteria; Pseudomonadati; Bacteroidota; Sphingobacteriia; Sphingobacteriales; Sphingobacteriaceae. The record is from RNAcentral.
CACGGAGUUAGCCGAUCCUUAUUCCUUCGGUACAUUCAGCUUCCUACACGUAGAAAGGUUUAUUCCCGAAUAAAAGCAGUUUACAACCCGGAGGGCCGUCUUCCUGCACGCGGCAUGGCUGGUUCAGGCUUGCGCCCAUUGACCAAUAUUCCUUACUGCUGCCUCCCGUAGGAGUCUGGUCCGUGUCUCAGUACCAGUGUGGGGGGCCAUCCUCUCAGAUCCCCUAGCCAUCGCGGUCUUGGUGGGCCGUUACCCCGCCAACUAACUAAUGGCACGCAUGCCCAUCCAAACCCCAUGAAUGUUUGACCAUUGCACGAUGCCGUGCUGUGGUUUUAUGCGGUAUUAAUCCGGAUUUCUCCGGGCUAUCCCCCAGGUUUGGGCAGGUUGCAUACGCGUUACGCACCCGUGCGCCGGUCUCAAGGCUGCAAGCAGCCUCUACCCCUCGACUUGCAUGUAUUAGGCCUGCCGCUAGCGUUCAUCCUGAGCCAGGAUCAAACUCU